Non-coding RNA from Ceratobasidium sp. 394, 101 nucleotides. NCBI's taxonomy places the organism in Eukaryota, Fungi, Basidiomycota, Agaricomycetes, Cantharellales, Ceratobasidiaceae. The record is from the annotation of a GenBank genome assembly.
GCUUCCUUGGCUCAGCUGGUAGAGCGUUGGUCUCAUAAAUUAUGAGCAAUAUACUGUAUUGCGCCAUCCAAAGGUCGUGAGUUCGAGCCUCACAGGGAGCA